AGCAGCUUCCCAGGAUGAUGCUGUGAAGAGCUGGGAGGUGGCAGGUACAGGGGUGGCACACCUGAGCUGUUCCUGGCUGCUCUGGAACAUCCCCCUGAAGCUGACAUUUAUGGCCUCAAGAAGAAGCUUUGGAUGUGGUGCCAGCACAACAGCAGUGAGAGAAAACAAGGCAAGUACCUCCAAGAUGCAGAACAACCAGCAAGUUAAAAAACAGCAUCACAAGGAGGUCCUAAGAUGGGGCUUGCUCCAGUUUUCCUGCUGAGCAUGUGUUUAGGAAUUGCUGCUAAAAAAAAGUCAGAGAGGAUGGUAGUUGCUGUGCUGUCACAUGGCCUGAUAGAAUGCAGAAUCUGCUUAGCAUUCUUGAAGGGAAAUUAUCCAGUGCUGCAACUCACAAUUUAUAAUUGGGUUGCGUAUUAAUAUCUAAAAAAGGCAAUAAAAUCCACUGUGAGUUUAAAAAAAAAAUAGUAAGUAGGAGUAUUACAAGCUGAGCAGUGAAAAUCUGGAAGACUUCUUGGCUAGAGCAAGGCUGUGUGCAGUGUUGUUUCUCCUGUAUUAAUUACAAGCAAUUUUAAAUCAUCUCCUUCCUUCAAGGAAGGAUUUUGUUCAGCAUUUGUGUUAAUUUUAAUCUUGCUAAUGUGAUACUCUCUUGGAACCUCUCCCUUGUGUCAUAACAGUGAGACAUGCUGCCUCUUUUGUCCCUGCCCUUUGGGAAACACAGUUACUGCUGCUCAUUGCCUCAACCCUGCUGUCGUGACUAUCAGUACCCCUCCCUUGAAAGGAAAAGAAACCAAAACCCCACAGCAGCAUUGUUCUUCCCCCCGCCAGAGUUCACUUUUAUUUGUAGUAUUUAAGCUAGACUGUGCAAGUGCCUCAUGAAAAUCGGGGGUUUAAAAUGUAUGGUGCUGUAUUAGAGUGGAAAGCUUGUUAUUCAGCACACUAAUUAUUUCUGAGUCACUGUAUUUAUGAAAUGUCAUGUAAUAACUACUUCACUACCACGCAAAAUAAAUAGUGCAAAAGCAGGCACUUUAUGAUUUUGACAUUUUAGUGUAUUAACAUAUUCCCGAGUCUCUCUGGGGGCUACUGGGAAUCAGAUAAUGUUUUUAUGACUUCUAAAAAAAUGACAUUGAAUUUCAUAAUCUGUAACACUCCAUAUAUAUCAUUAAUGUUGUGCAUUUUAUUACAGCCUCAGUGGCUUAU
Molecule: long non-coding RNA, 1197 nt
Organism: Corvus hawaiiensis (hawaiian crow)
Lineage: Eukaryota; Metazoa; Chordata; Aves; Passeriformes; Corvidae
Exons: 3
Source: RefSeq, a predicted model, not a curated record